GACGAACGCUGGCGGCGAGCUUAACACAUGCAAGUCGAGCGGUAAGGCCCUUUCGGGGGUACGACGAGCGGCGAACGGGUGAGUAACACGUGGGUGACCUGCCCUUAGCUCUGGGAUAAGCCUGGGAAACUGGGUCUAAUACCGGAUAUGACUCCAUAACGCAUGUUGUGGGGUGGAAAGCCUUGUGCGGCUAGGGAUGGGCCCGCGGCCUAUCAGCUUGUUGGGUGGGGUGAUGGCCACCAAGGCGACGACGGGUAGCCGGCCUGAGAGGGCGACCGGCCACACUGGGACUGAGACACGGCCCAGACUCCUACGGGAGGGCAGCAGUGGGGAAUCUUGCGCAAUGGGCGAAAGCCUGACGCAGCGACGCUGCGUGGGGA
RNAcentral lists this ribosomal RNA (380 nucleotides) under uncultured bacterium. RNAcentral describes it as "bacterial SSU rRNA". It matches the Rfam family "Bacterial small subunit ribosomal RNA", at positions 28 to 407 of the family's 1533-position model. The record is from RNAcentral.